This 552-nucleotide ribosomal RNA is filed under the name Penicillium shearii. RNAcentral describes it as "eukaryotic LSU rRNA". The stretch from base 209 to 362 matches the Rfam family "5.8S ribosomal RNA". Lineage: Eukaryota; Fungi; Ascomycota; Eurotiomycetes; Eurotiales; Aspergillaceae. The record is from RNAcentral.
CCCUUCCGUAGGGUGAACCUGCGGAAGGAUCAUUACUGAGUGAGGGCCCUCUGGGUCCAACCUCCCACCCGUGUUUAACGAACCUUGUUGCUUCGGCGGGCCCGCCUCACGGCCGCCGGGGGGCAUCCGCCCCUGGGCCCGCGCCCGCCGAAGACACCUGUGAACUCUGUCUGAAGUUGCAGUCUGAGAAACUAUUUAAAUUAGUUAAAACUUUCAACAACGGAUCUCUUGGUUCCGGCAUCGAUGAAGAACGCAGCGAAAUGCGAUAAAUAAUGUGAAUUGCAGAAUUCAGUGAAUCAUCGAGUCUUUGAACGCACAUUGCGCCCUCUGGUAUUCCGGAGGGCAUGCCUGUCCGAGCGUCAUUGCUGCCCUCAAGCACGGCUUGUGUGUUGGGCCCCGUCCCCCCCCUCCCGGGGGGACGGGCCCGAAAGGCAGCGGCGGCACCGCGUCCGGUCCUCGAGCGUAUGGGGCUUUGUCACCCGCUCUUGUAGGCCCGGCCGGCGCUUGCCGACCCCCUCAAUCUAUUUUCAGGUUGACCUCGAUCAGUAGUCC